AACUCUAAGCGGUGGAUCACUCGGCUCAUGGGUCGAUGAAGAACCCAGCAAACUGUGCGUCAUCGUGUGAACUGCAGGACAUAUGGGACUACCCCUUGAAUUUAAGCAUAUUAAUUAGGGGAGGAAAAGAAAGGAUUUUCUUAGUAGCGGCG
RNAcentral lists this ribosomal RNA (152 nucleotides) under Drosophila erecta. RNAcentral describes it as "5.8S ribosomal RNA". It matches the Rfam family "5.8S ribosomal RNA". Rfam says of the family: 5.8S ribosomal RNA (5.8S rRNA) is a component of the large subunit of the eukaryotic ribosome. The record is from RNAcentral. Lineage: Eukaryota; Metazoa; Arthropoda; Insecta; Diptera; Drosophilidae.